This 65-nucleotide transfer RNA is filed under the name Agnesiella aldera. RNAcentral describes it as "tRNA-Leu". The record is from RNAcentral. Lineage: Eukaryota; Metazoa; Arthropoda; Insecta; Hemiptera; Cicadellidae. RNAcentral also lists the same sequence under 1 other name.
UCUAAUGUGGCAGAAAAAUGCAUCAAGCUUAAGAUUUGAAAAUAAAUAAUUAUAUUUUAUUAGAA